UUGACCCCUGAGUUACAAAUGUCCAAUUUCUAAUGACACAGAGAUUAGCUUGGCCCCUGCAGAAGAGUGACCUGCCAAUUGAUGAAAUGUUCCAUAUUUUU
This 101-nucleotide small nuclear RNA is filed under the name Zalophus californianus (California sea lion). Lineage: Eukaryota; Metazoa; Chordata; Mammalia; Carnivora; Otariidae. The record is from RNAcentral. RNAcentral also lists the same sequence under 1 other name.